This 441-nucleotide ribosomal RNA is filed under the name uncultured bacterium. RNAcentral describes it as "bacterial SSU rRNA". It matches the Rfam family "Bacterial small subunit ribosomal RNA", at positions 958 to 1400 of the family's 1533-position model. The record is from RNAcentral.
AACGCGAAGAACCUUACCUGGGCUUGAACCGCUACGGACCAGCGAUAGAAAUAUUGCCUUCCCGCAAGGGACCGUAGUAGAGGUGCUGCAUGGCUGUCGUCAGCUCGUGCCGUGAGGUGUUGGGUUAAGUCCCGCAACGAGCGCAACCCUUACUCGUAGUUGCUACCCGCAAGGGAGAACUCUACGAGGACUGCUCCGGAUAACGGAGAGGAAGGUGGGGAUGACGUCAAGUCAGCACGGCCUUUAUGUCCAGGGCUACACACGUGUUACAAUGCAUGGUACAGACUGUUGCGAACCCGCGAGGGGGAGCUAAUCGGCCAAAGCCAUGCUCAGUUCGGAUUGCAGUCUGCAACUCGACUGCAUGAAGCUGGAAUCGCUAGUAAUGGCGCAUCAGAUCGGCGCCGUGAAUACGUUCCCGGGCCUUGUACACACCGUAGAGAC